This is an RNA transcript of Daphnia magna, 1886 nucleotides long. RefSeq lists it as uncharacterized. Lineage: Eukaryota; Metazoa; Arthropoda; Branchiopoda; Diplostraca; Daphniidae. The transcript is spliced from 8 exons. The record is from RefSeq and is a predicted model, not a curated record.
UUUUGGUUGAUAGAUGGCCCCUGCCGGCCGUCCUUUUCACCCUCCUUCCACAAUAAAAAUCAAAUAUCUUCUUAAGUUAUACGUUUCAUUACAAAAAAAAAUUCACGUAGUUAAAAUCGCUUUUUAAAGCUGUAUUUUAUCAUUUAUUUUUUUUUUUUCGUGAAAAAAGCCCACCCGACAAGCCAUAACGCGGCGAGAUAAGGAAAGAAUCUCGUCCUUAAGUUAAAGUAGUCCAUGGUUGUUACAUGGUUGUGAUCUGGGAAAAAGAUGAACGAAAAAGCUUCUGCUCGUCUGAGUUGUGAUUGUUACAGGCCUGAUUAUCUACUACACAUUGGUGUUAUUUAUGUAUUUUAAAAAAGAGAUAACUUCGUGAAAUUUAAUUACCAGUAUAGAAACCAGUGUUUCACCACUGCAUGUUAAAUUCAACAUUUAAAAACACAAACAGUGUAGAGGGGAAUAUAGGCUCAAAAAUUUCUACAAAAAAUGGCUAUAGCUGGCAGUCCACAACCAGAACUGCAUCGUAUGCUUCGACGUCUUGAUUUCCCACAAUCAGCGAAGGAAGCUCUUGCUUGUCUUGGUUAGCACAUAAAUCAGUAAAAUGAAUAACAAACUUUUUUGCUAAAUUUUUCCUUUUUUUUACAUUAAGAACAAUUGUGCCUUCCACUUGCACAUACACGUCCACCUACAUCAAAACAGUUAGAUUACAUUGGAGAAAUCAUAGAUGAGUUUGUUUUCUGUGAAAUUGAUCAUAAGGGAGCUAAAAGAAAGAGGUUAAAUCCAAUUCAAGAGCUUCAACUGCUGGAAGUCUUACUGGGAUAUUUUGCUGCUGGUGAAGAUAAGGUCAUUUUGAAUACUGUCUUUAUGAUGUUGUUUACCCCUCCUCAUACUCCAAGCCCCAGUCCCAGCCCUUCACCCUCGGGAUUUGCUCGUGCCGAUGUCUUUACUCCCGGAACUGCCACCGUCACGCUUAGUGAUCGAAUGCGAAUUUUGGCACGAUUAGUAUCAGCCGCUGUUGCUUCACAUAAUUUGGCUGUGUUAAACUGCACAGGCGUUUGGAUGCAACAAUUGGGAUGCCUGAGUCAGCACUCGCUUAAUCUUUCAAGAGUCUUCAUUGAAGACUACUUUGUACUCAACACACCACAGUCUAAUAUCACUUCUACUAGCUGCUUGGAAGAACUUCCACAGUUAGCUCCUCAUUUUACCGCAUGCUUUCUCACAGCCGCCGCAGAGCUUUACGGUGGAAUCGAUGGCAAUCGAAGUGCUUACAUCUCACCACCAGUUUACUUGCUCAACACCAUUGUCAAUUGGGUUUCUUCUAACCCGAGAUUAUGUUUGACACCACUCACCCUAAACCUGCAACCCCUUCUCCCCAAAGGAAGCAUAGUAAUGACAUCCGUUACUCCUUUGGCUGGUUUACUAAAAUGGUGCGUUGAAGCCCCUUUGAAUCCAAGUCAGGAAAAGGCAUUCCCUGUUAAAUUUGAGAAAACAAAAGACAGCAAGCUGGAAUGGGAUGAAAAUUCAAACUAUAGUCAGCUUCAUGCUAGCCUCCUGGAAUCAAUGCAAGAACGUUCUGUAUUGCAGAACCAGCAACAACUUCUUCAAGCUGAAGUGAUUUCACCCCGUCAUUUGUUAACCCUGGUUAGGGGUUUGCUAGAUUCCUGUGUUAAGAAUAAUACAAACAACGAGAAAAUCCAACUGUCUCUCGACAGGCUAGCCCAGUCCGUGCAAGUGGCCCAAUCCUCCGGAUGUCUUUAUGGAAAUACGCACGAGCUUAUGCAAGCCCUUCGUACCCUUCCAUACAAUAGACUUCUUGACAUCGUUGUGCGGAGAUACAGUUAAUUUGUUUAUGCUAAUACGUGAUACAGAAUUUCUCGUUUUUUUACCAA